RNAcentral lists this ribosomal RNA (407 nucleotides) under uncultured bacterium. RNAcentral describes it as "partial 16S ribosomal RNA". It matches the Rfam family "Bacterial small subunit ribosomal RNA", at positions 28 to 526 of the family's 1533-position model. The record is from RNAcentral.
GACGAACGCUGGCGGCAGGCCUAACACAUGCAAGUCGAGCGGAGCGGCGGACGGGUGAGUAAUGCCUAGGAAUCUGCCUGGUAGUGGGGGAUAACGUCCGGAAACGGGCGCUAAUAUCGCAUACUAUCAGAUGAGCCUAGGUCGGAUUAGCUAGUUGGAGGGGGAAAGGCCUACAAAGGCGACGAUCCGUAACUGGUUUGAGAGGACGACCAGCCACACUGGGACUGAGACACGGCCCAGACUACUACGGGAGGCAGCAGUGGGGAAUGUUGGACAAGGGGGGAAACCAUGAUCCAGCCAUGCCGCGUGUAUGAUGAAGGCCUUCGGGUUGUAAAGUACUUUUGGCAGGGAAGCGGUAUCUGCAGAAUAAGCACCGGCUAACUACGUGCCAGCAGCAGCGGUAAUAC